GAUGAACGCUGGCGGCGUGCCUAAUACAUGCAAGUCGAGCGAACAGAUGAGGAGCUUGCUCCUCUGACGUUAGCGGCGGACGGGUGAGUAACACGUGGAUAACCUACCUAUAAGACUGGGAUAACUUCGGGAAACCGGAGCUAAUACCGGAUAAUAUAUUGAACCGCAUGGUUCAAUAGUGAAAGACGGUUUUGCUGUCACUUAUAGAUGGAUCCGCGCCGCAUUAGCUAGUUGGUAAGGUAACGGCUUACCAAGGCAACGAUGCGUAGCCGACCUGAGAGGAGGAUCGCCCACACGGAAACUGAAACCCGGUCCGGGCCCCCAGGGGAGGCAGCGGUGGGGAAUCUGCCGCAAGGGGCGAAAGCCUAACGGAGGAACGCCGGGGGGUGAAGAAAGGUCUUCGAGUCGUAAAACCCUUUUUUUAGGAAAAAACAAAGGUUAAAUUAAUUAGCCACUACUUGACGGAACCUAAUAAGAAAGCCCCGGCUAACUACUG
Molecule: ribosomal RNA, 496 nt
Filed under: uncultured bacterium
Lineage: Bacteria
Description: partial 16S ribosomal RNA
Rfam family: Bacterial small subunit ribosomal RNA
Source: RNAcentral